GAGCCCUGUAGCCUUGCUGCAGCAAGCCUCCAGCUCGCGGUCUCUCGCUGAGGACCGAGAGACGUUGGUGUGCAGGAGAUUCAGUGCGUGUGUUUUUCAUUCCCGUGUGGAUUUGUUUCAAAGACAUUGUCAUCUGUGUAGAAGCCAGUUUCAAUCUCUGGUUUCUACCCCUUGCCCUGCUGGCAGGGCAUUGAGCGGCACCCGUUGCCGGCCAGCUGGGUGCAGGAGAUCGAGGAGGGUGAAUGGAGGAGCAACCCUGAGCAUCUGCCAUCCAGCUCCAUCUGAUCUAGAGCAAGAUGGAGCGAAUAAGGCGGAUGCUCAGGAGGAAGGCCGGGCAGGUGGCUCCAGAGCCAGCAGAAAACAUCAGCCAGCCUUCCCAGGAGGAGAGCGGCCCCUCUGUCCCCACGGGCGGGGAAGAGGCUUGUGGCCGGAGUAAGGAGAGGAGCUGCGUCGCCUGCUGGAGGAGGCGGAAGACAGCAGCUCCGCUAGCUGACCCUGAGGCACCUUCUGGGCUGAAAUGGAGGUGGCCCCGGGUUCAGCUGUGGAGGAGAGAGCCAGGAGAGGGCAGGAGCCGGAGAAGGCAGCUCUGGGGCUUCCUUUGCAGAAAGCCAAGGAGCCAGGAGCUGCGCCCCAGGGCCCAGCAGGAGCCGUCCACCACCAUGGCAACUGAGGGGCCCUGCUCCAGCCCCACCCUGGCCCUGGAGGAGCCUCCCACCAGCCCCACCCUGGCCCCAGAGGAGCCUCCCGCCAGCCCCACCCUGGCCAUAGAGGAGCCUCCAGCCCCACCUUGGCGACUGAGGAGCCUCCCGCCAUCCCCACCCUGGCGACUGAGAAGCCUCCUGCCAGCCCCACCCUGGCCAUGAAGGAGCCUCCUGCCAGCCCAGAGCAGGAGUUGAGCGACUGCGUGACAAACACCAGCAGCUCCGCAUACUCCUGCGGGGCCAGCAGCUCCUCCGUGGGGUCUGGCAGCCCUGUCUUUGAAGGCUCCCUCUUUGGAGACACCCCCAGUUCCCAGGUGUCGUGGCCUGAGGAGGAGGAAGAGGAGGAGUGUGAGGAGGAGGAGGAGGAGUAGGAUUUGUGCCCUGAGGAAGAUACCAUCUUGGUGAUCCAGCAGCACCUCCAGGGCAGAGCUGAGGCUCUGCACAACCCUAUUCGCGAAGCCUGGACACCAUCCUCAGGGACCGGCUAAUAGAGACCCCCACCAUGGAGAAGCUGCAGCACCUCCUGGAGCACGUCCAUCCCUCUCUCCUGUCAAACAACACCCAGGAGAGAGCCAGGGUCGUACAGACCCGCGCGGCCUUGCUCCAGUUUGCCACCUCCCUGCCUGGAUUUGACACUUCCUCCAC
Molecule: long non-coding RNA, 1346 nt
Organism: Mauremys reevesii (Reeves's turtle)
Lineage: Eukaryota; Metazoa; Chordata; Testudines; Geoemydidae
Exons: 7
Source: RefSeq, a predicted model, not a curated record